UGGGGAAUAUUGCACAAUGGGCGCAAGCCUGAUGCAGCCAUGCCGCGUGUGUGAAGAAGGCCUUCGGGUUGUAAAGCACUUUCAGCGGGGAGGAAGGCGGUGAGGUUAAUAACCUCAUCGAUUGACGUUACCCGCAGAAGAAGCACCGGCUAACUCCGUGCCAGCAGCCGCGGUAAUACGGAGGGUGCAAGCGUUAAUCGGAAUUACUGGGCGUAAAGCGCACGCAGGCGGUUUGUUAAGUCAGAUGUGAAAUCCCCGGGCUCAACCUGGGAACUGCAUCUGAUACUGGCAAGCUUGAGUCUCGUAGAGGGGGGUAGAAUUCCAGGUGUAGCGGUGAAAUGCGUAGAGAUCUGGAGGAAUACCGGUGGCGAAGGCGGCCCCCUGGACGAAGACUGACGCUCAGGUGCGAAAGCGUGGGGAGCAAAAAGG
This 429-nucleotide ribosomal RNA is filed under the name Chloroflexota bacterium. RNAcentral's name for it is "Chloroflexi bacterium partial 16S ribosomal RNA". It matches the Rfam family "Bacterial small subunit ribosomal RNA", at positions 355 to 776 of the family's 1533-position model. The record is from RNAcentral. Lineage: Bacteria; Bacillati; Chloroflexota.